RNAcentral lists this ribosomal RNA (253 nucleotides) under uncultured bacterium. RNAcentral's name for it is "partial 16S ribosomal RNA". It matches the Rfam family "Bacterial small subunit ribosomal RNA", at positions 524 to 776 of the family's 1533-position model. The record is from RNAcentral.
UACGGAGGGUGCAAGCGUUGUCCGGAAUCACUGGGCGUAAAGGGCGCGUAGGUGGCGGAGUAAGCGUGUGGUGAAAGCUCGGGGCUCAACCCCGAGUCGGCCAUGCGAACUGCUUUGCUUGAGCACUGUAGAGGCAGAUGGAAUUCCGGGUGUAGCGGUGGAAUGCGUAGAGAUCCCCAAGAACACCAGUUGCGAAGGCGGCUGACUGGACACAUAUUGACGCUGAGGCUCGAAAGCAUGGGGAGCAAACAGG